AUGCACGCUGGCGGCGUGCCUAAUCCAUGCAAGUCGAGCGAACGGACGAGAAGCUUGCUUCUCUGAUGUUAGCGGCGGACGGGUGAGUAACACGUGGAUAACCUACCUAUAAGACUGGGAUAACUUCGGGAAACCGGAGCUAAUACCGGAUAAUAUUUUGAACCGCAUGGUUCAAAAGUGAAAGACGGUCUUGCUGUCACUUAUAGAUGGAUCCGCGCUGCAUUAGCUAGUUGGUAAGGUAACGGCUUACCAAGGCAACGAUGCAUAGCCGACCUGAGAGGGUGAUCGGCCACACUGGAACUGAGACACGGUCCAGACUCCUACGGGAGGCAGCAGUAGGGAAUCUUCCGCAAUGGGCGAAAGCCUGACGGAGCAACGCCGCGUGAGUGAUGAAGGUCCUCGGAUCGUAAAACUCUGUUAUUAGGGAAGAACAUAUGUGUAAGUAACUGUGCACAUCUUGACGGUACCUAAUCAGAAAGCCACGGCUAACUACGUG
RNAcentral lists this ribosomal RNA (496 nucleotides) under uncultured bacterium. RNAcentral describes it as "partial 16S ribosomal RNA". It matches the Rfam family "Bacterial small subunit ribosomal RNA", at positions 29 to 507 of the family's 1533-position model. The record is from RNAcentral.